ACGGAAGGUAGCAGUAGGGAAUCUUCGGCAAUGGGGGCAACCCUGACCGAGCAACGCCGCGUGAGUGAAGAAGGUUUUCGGAUCGUAAAGCUCUGUUGUAAGAGAAGAACGUGUGUGAGAGUGGAAAGUUCACACAGUGACGGUAACUUACCAGAAAGGGACGGCUAACUACGUGCCAGCAGCCGCGGUAAUACGUAGGUCCCGAGCGUUGUCCGGAUUUAUUGGGCGUAAAGCGAGCGCAGGCGGUUUAAUAAGUCUGAAGUUAAAGGCAGUGGCUUAACCAUUGUUCGCUUUGGAAACUGUUAGACUUGAGUGCAGAAGGGGAGAGUGGAAUUCCAUGUGUAGCGGUGAAAUGCGUAGAUAUAUGGAGGAACACCGGUGGCGAAAGUGGCUCUCUGGUCUGUAACUGACGCUGAGGCUCGAAAGCGUGGGGAGCAGACAGGAUUAGAUACCCUGGUA
This 459-nucleotide ribosomal RNA is filed under the name uncultured Streptococcus sp. RNAcentral's name for it is "partial 16S ribosomal RNA". It matches the Rfam family "Bacterial small subunit ribosomal RNA", at positions 341 to 792 of the family's 1533-position model. The record is from RNAcentral. Lineage: Bacteria; Bacillati; Bacillota; Bacilli; Lactobacillales; Streptococcaceae.